RNAcentral lists this ribosomal RNA (293 nucleotides) under uncultured bacterium. RNAcentral's name for it is "partial 16S ribosomal RNA". It matches the Rfam family "Archaeal small subunit ribosomal RNA", at positions 455 to 747 of the family's 1478-position model. The record is from RNAcentral.
GUGCCAGCAGCCGCGGUAAUACCGGCAGCCCGAGUGAUGGCCAAUUUUAUUGGGCCUAAAGCGUCCGUAGCCGGCCACACAAGUCCAUCGGGAAAUCCGCCAGCCUAACUGGCGGGCGUCCGGUGGAACCUGUGUGGCUUGGGACCGGAAGACCCAACGGGUACGUCUUGGGUAGGAGUGAAAUCCUGUAAUCCUGGACGGACCACCGAUAGCGAAAGCACGUUGGGAAGACGGAUCCGACGGUGAGGGACGAAAGCCAGGGUCUCGAACCGGAUUAGAUACCCUGGUAGUCC